UAGAAGACAAAAGAAUUUGUGCCAAAGAAAGAACAAUAAGGGAAAAACCUCAAUAAAAUGGAAAUAAGUACUUAUCUGAUAAAGAGUUAAAAGCAAUGGUCAUGUCUGAUGCUCAGUGAACUUGAGAGAACAAUGGAGGAACCAGUGAGAACAUCAACAAAGAGAAAAUAUUAAAAAGACACAAUCAGAGCAGACAUAUGCAAUAAAUGAAAUGGAAAAUACACAAGAGGGAGUCAGGAACAGAUCUGUGGGCCUUCAGUUCACUCGUGUAAAUGGACUGAGACUUCAAGCCGUAAAACAAACGACUGGGCAAUGAAUGAACUGGGAAACAAAGCAAUAAACCAAACGUAGUCUGGAUGGCUUCUGAGUGAAAAGCAGAUACAGUCUUGGAACAAGGAACAGUAUAAUGGCAGCAGCUAAUGGAAAAAAAAGAUGACGAGGUCAAGAAGAGCAAAGAGAAAUGUUUGCUGACUACAGAUUUUGGGGCCUCUCAUCUCCAUACUCUGGUGACCAAUUCGGAGCUCUGUCAUCAAGGAACGCGUGAAAUGGAGAGCAGGAAGUGUAACUUCCUGUGGGAAACCGGUGGGCCAAGUUCUGAGGAGAGUGGCUGUUUCACUUCACUCUGAAGGUAGGCCUACCUCAAAAAUAAAAGAAAGUUCAGGUAUUCCA
This is a long non-coding RNA of Bos indicus x Bos taurus (hybrid cattle), 669 nucleotides long. NCBI's taxonomy places the organism in Eukaryota, Metazoa, Chordata, Mammalia, Artiodactyla, Bovidae. The record is from Ensembl.